RNAcentral lists this signal recognition particle RNA (116 nucleotides) under Homo sapiens (human). RNAcentral describes it as "Metazoan signal recognition particle RNA". It matches the Rfam family "Metazoan signal recognition particle RNA". From Rfam's summary of the family: The signal recognition particle (SRP) is a universally conserved ribonucleoprotein. It is involved in the co-translational targeting of proteins to membranes. The record is from Rfam by way of RNAcentral. Lineage: Eukaryota; Metazoa; Chordata; Mammalia; Primates; Hominidae.
GCCGGGUGCGGUGGCUCACACCUGUAAUCCCAGCAUUUGGGAGGCUGAGGCGGGUGGAUCACCUGAGGUCAGGAGUUCUAGACCAGCCUGGCCAACAUGGUGAAACCCUGCCUCUA